RNAcentral lists this transfer RNA (63 nucleotides) under Geocoris pallidipennis. Its description in RNAcentral is "tRNA-Asp". Lineage: Eukaryota; Metazoa; Arthropoda; Insecta; Hemiptera; Geocoridae. The record is from RNAcentral.
GAAAAGUUAGUUUAAAUAAAACAUUAAUUUGUCAAGUUAAAAAUAUUAAAUUAAUACUUUUCU